This is an unclassified non-coding RNA of Macaca mulatta (Rhesus monkey), 147 nucleotides long. It matches the Rfam family "Metazoan signal recognition particle RNA". Rfam says of the family: The signal recognition particle (SRP) is a universally conserved ribonucleoprotein. It is involved in the co-translational targeting of proteins to membranes. NCBI's taxonomy places the organism in Eukaryota, Metazoa, Chordata, Mammalia, Primates, Cercopithecidae. The record is from Ensembl.
GCCGGGUGUGGUGGUGCGCGCCUGUAGUCCCAGCUACUUGGAGGCUGAGGCAGGAGAAUGGCAUGAACCCGGGAGGCGGAGCUUGCAGUGAGCCGAGAUCUGGCCACUGCACUCCAGCCUGGGCGACAGAGCCAGACUCCGUCUCAA